Molecule: long non-coding RNA, 207 nt
Filed under: Mytilus galloprovincialis (Mediterranean mussel)
Lineage: Eukaryota; Metazoa; Mollusca; Bivalvia; Mytilida; Mytilidae
Source: RNAcentral
AGAUUUUGUAUGAUUGCCAAAGAGACAACUCUCCACAAGAGACCAAAAUGACACAGAAAUUACCAUAUAGGUCACCGUACGGCCGUCAACAAUGAGCAAAAGCCCAUACCGCCUAGUCAGCUAUAAAAGGCCCCGAAAUAACCAUGUAAAACGAGAAAACUAACUGCUUAUUUAUGUACAAAAAUGAACGAAAAACAAAUAUGUAAC